AAUGAACGCUGGCGGCAGUCCUAACACAUGCAAGUCGAACGGAUCCUUCGGGAUUAGUGGCGGACGGGUGAGUAACGCGUGGGAACAUACCCAAAGGUACGGAAUAGCCUCGGGAAACUGGGAGUAAUACCGUAUGUGCUCGGAAGAGGAAAGAUUUAUCGCCUUUGGAUUGGCCUGCGUUGGAUUAGGUAGUUGGUCGUGUAAUGGCCUACCAAACCGACGAUCCAUAGCUGGUUUGAGAGGAGGAUCAACCACACUGGGACUGAGACACGGCCCAGACUCCUACGGGAGGCAGCAGUGGGGAAUCUUAGACAAUGGGGGAAACCCUGAUCUAGCCAUGCCGCGUGAUCGAUGAAGGCCUUAGGGUUGUAAAGAUCUUUCAGGUGGGAAGAUAAUGACUGUACCACCAGAAGAAGCCCCGGCUAACUCCGUGCCAGCCGCCGCGGUAA
This 449-nucleotide ribosomal RNA is filed under the name uncultured bacterium. RNAcentral describes it as "partial 16S ribosomal RNA". It matches the Rfam family "Bacterial small subunit ribosomal RNA", at positions 29 to 523 of the family's 1533-position model. The record is from RNAcentral.